GGCGCAGCCUGAUGCAGCGACGCCGCGUGAGUGAAGAAGGCCUUCGGGUCGUAAAGCUCUUUUCUGCGUGACGAGCAAGGACGGUAGCGCAGGAAUAAGUCUCGGCUAACUACGUGCCAGCAGCCGCGGUAAUAAUC
RNAcentral lists this ribosomal RNA (137 nucleotides) under uncultured Chloroflexota bacterium. RNAcentral describes it as "uncultured Chloroflexi bacterium partial 16S ribosomal RNA". It matches the Rfam family "Bacterial small subunit ribosomal RNA", at positions 374 to 526 of the family's 1533-position model. The record is from RNAcentral. Lineage: Bacteria; Bacillati; Chloroflexota.